Molecule: non-coding RNA, 31 nt
Filed under: Mus musculus (house mouse)
Lineage: Eukaryota; Metazoa; Chordata; Mammalia; Rodentia; Muridae
Also listed under: 1 other name
Source: RNAcentral
GGGGGGUAUAGCUCAGUGGUAGAGCAUUUGA